UUUUCCUUCUUUUUUAAUCAGUUCUCUGAGAGUGUGAGUGGCACAAAAUUUGAGGAAGACCAUCUUUCCCAUUACUCUCCCUGGUCUUGUGGCACCAUAGGCUCGUGUAUAAAUGCCAUUGAUUCAGAGCCCAAAGAUGUGAUUGCUAAUUCAAAUGCUGUGCUAAUGGACCUGGACAGUGGGGAUGUUAAGAGAAGAGUGCAUUUAUUUGAAACGCAGAGAAGGACAAAAGAAGAAGACCCAAUUAUUCCCUUUAGUGAUGGACCCAUUAUCUCAAAAUGGGGUGCAAUUUCCCGAUCCUCCCGAACAGGUUACCAUACAACAGAUCCCAUCCAAGCCACUGCUUCCCAAGGAAGUGCAA
Cricetulus griseus (Chinese hamster) is the source of this 361-nucleotide non-coding RNA. NCBI's taxonomy places the organism in Eukaryota, Metazoa, Chordata, Mammalia, Rodentia, Cricetidae. The record is from RefSeq and is a predicted model, not a curated record.